GUGGGGAAUAUUGGACAAUGGGCGAAAGCCUGAUCCAGCCAUGCCGCGUGUGUGAAGAAGGUCUUCGGAUUGUAAAGCACUUUAAGUUGGGAGGAAGGGCAGUAAGUUAAUACCUUGCUGUUUUGACGUUACCGACAGAAUAAGCACCGGCUAACUUCGUGCCAGCAGCCGCGGUAAUACGAAGGGUGCAAGCGUUAAUCGGAAUUACUGGGCGUAAAGCGCGCGUAGGUGGUUUUGUAAGUUGGAGGUGAAAUCCCCGGGCUCAACCUGGGAACUGCCUCCAAAACUACUGAGCUAGAGUACGGUAGAGGGUAGUGGAAUUUCCUGUGUAGCGGUGAAAUGCGUAGAUAUAGGAAGGAACACCAGUGGCGAAGGCGACUACCUGGACUGAUACUGACACUUAGGUGCGAAAGCGUGGGGAGCAAACAGGAUUAGAUACCCUAGUAGUCC
This 450-nucleotide ribosomal RNA is filed under the name uncultured bacterium. RNAcentral describes it as "partial 16S ribosomal RNA". It matches the Rfam family "Bacterial small subunit ribosomal RNA", at positions 354 to 796 of the family's 1533-position model. The record is from RNAcentral.